UAGGGAAUCUUCCGCAAUGGGCGAAAGCCUAACGGAGCAACGCCGCGUGAGUGAUGAAGGUCUUCGGAUCGUAAAACUCUGUUAUUAGGGAAGAACAAAUGUGUAAGUAACUAUGCACAUCUUGACGGUACCUAAUCAGAAAGCCACGGCUAACUACGUGCCAGCAGCCGCGGUAAUACGUAGGUGGCAAGCGUUAUCCGGAAUUAUUGGGCGUAAAGCGCGCGUAGGCGGUUUUUUAAGUCUGAUGUGAAAGCCCACGGCUCAACCGUGGAGGGUCAUUGGAAACUGGAAAACUUGAGUGCAGAAGAGGAAAGUGGAAUUUCAUGUGUAGCGGUGAAAUGCGCAGAGAUAUGGAGGAACACCAGUGGCGAAGGCGACUUUCUGGUCUGUAACUGACGCUGAUGUGCGAAAGCGUGGGGAUCAAACAGG
RNAcentral lists this ribosomal RNA (429 nucleotides) under Bacteroidota bacterium. Its description in RNAcentral is "Bacteroidetes bacterium partial 16S ribosomal RNA". It matches the Rfam family "Bacterial small subunit ribosomal RNA", at positions 355 to 776 of the family's 1533-position model. The record is from RNAcentral. Lineage: Bacteria; Pseudomonadati; Bacteroidota.